Neorickettsia helminthoeca str. Oregon is the source of this 2792-nucleotide ribosomal RNA. It matches the Rfam family "Bacterial large subunit ribosomal RNA". The record is from Rfam. Lineage: Bacteria; Pseudomonadati; Pseudomonadota; Alphaproteobacteria; Rickettsiales; Anaplasmataceae.
CUGUAAAAAACUAAGAGUGUCUGAUGGAUGCCUUGGUGCCAAGAGGCGAAGAAGGACGUGUUAGGCUGCGAUAAGCCGCGGGUAGUUGCCAGAAAACGUUUAUCCGUGGAUCUCCGAAUGGGGAAACCCGACUAGCUAUGCUAGUCAUUGCAUGCUGAAUACAUAGGUAUGCAAAGCGAACCCAGCGAACUGAAAUAUCUAAGUAGCUGGAGGAAAAGAAAUCAACCGAGAUUCCGCUAGUAGUGACGAGCGAACGCGGACCAGGCCAGUGGUCUGAGUCAAGAAAACUAGAAUGCUCUGGAAAGGGCAGCGAAACAGGGUGAUAGCCCCGUACAGGUAAUGCUUGCUCAGAUCCUCGAGUAGGGCGGGACACGAGAAAUCCUGUCUGAAUAUGGGGGGACCACCCUCCAAGCCUAAAUACUACUUGGCGACCGAUAGUGAACUAGUACCGUGAGGGAAAGGUGAAAAGAACCCCUGUUAGGGGAGUGAAAUAGACCCUGAAAUCGGACACUUACAAACAGUCGGAGCCUGAUUUAUGCGACCGCCUUCGGGUGAUCGCAUAUCUGCGGGUGACGGCGUACCUUUUGUAUAAUGGGUCAGCGACUUAAUUUAUUGAGCGAGCUUAAGCCGUAUCAGGUGUAGGCGCAGCGAAAGCGAGUCUUAAUAGGGCGAUUAGUUCAAUGGAUUAGACCCGAAACCAGGUGAUCUAGCCAUGGCCAGACUGAAGGUGCGGUAAAACGUACUGGAGGGUCGAACCCACUGAUGUUGCAAUAUCAGGGGAUGAGCUGUGGUUAGGGGUGAAAGGCCAAUCAAACCUGGAAAUAGCUGGUUCUCCGCGAAAUCUAUUUAGGUAGAGCGUCGCAUAAAAUAUGUCACCGGGGGUAGAGCACUUGAUGGGUUAGGGGGAGUAAAAUCUUACUGAGCUCAGCUAAACUCCGAAUACCGGUGAUAGUUCUGCGGCAGACACACUACGGGUGCUAAGAUCCGUGGUGAAGAGGAAAACAGUCCAGACCGCCAUUUAAGGUCCCCAAAUUGUAACUAAGUGUGGAAGGAUGUGGGAAGGCCAAGACAGCUAGGAGGUGGGCUUAGAAGCAGCCAUCCUUUAAAGAAAGCGUAACAGCUCACUAGUCUAAACAAGCUUUCCUGCGCCGAAGAUGUAACGGGGCUAAAGUUACAUACCGAAGAUGCGGAUUGCUGCGAAGAAUAUUCGCAGCAGUGGUAGCGGAGCGUUCCAUAAGCCGUCGAAGGUUGACCGUGAGGUCAGCUGGAGGUAUUGGAAGUGCAAAUGCUGACAUGAGUAGCGUAAGAAGUGUGAAAAACACUUCCACCGAAAACUUAAGGUUUCCUGCUUCAAGUUAAUCUGAGCAGGGUUAGUCGGUCCCUAAGACGAGUCCGAAAGGGGUAGUCGAUGGAAACAAGGUUAAUAUUCCUUGACCUGUGAGUAGUGACGGGUUGUUAUGGUUGUACUCUCUUAUUGGAUUGAGAGUGCUGCUUAUAUGGCUCCAAGAAAUAGCUCUCACAUAUAGGCCGUACCGCAAACCGACACAGGUGAGUGGGUAGAGUAUACUUAGGUGAUUGAGAUAAUGAUGUUGAAGGAACUCGGCAAAUUGCAUCCGUAACUUCGGGAGAAGGAUGACCUCGUUUUGGGCAACCAUUAUGAGGUGGCACAAGCCAGGGGGUAGCGACUGUUUACUAAAAACACAGGACUCUGCAAACACGCAAGUGGAAGUAUAGGGUCUGACGCCUGCCCGGUGCCGGAAGGUUAAUAGGAGAGGUGCAUAGCUUCGAAUUGAAGCCCCGGUGAACGGCGGCCGUAACACUGACGGUCCUAAGGUAGCGAAAUUCCUUGUCGGGUAAGUUCCGACCUGCACGAAUGGCGUAACGACUUCCCCGCUGUCUCCAACAUCAACUCAGCGAAAUUGAACUCCCCGUGAAGAUGCGGGGUACCUGCGGUCAGACGAAGAGACCCCGUGCACCUUUACUACAGCUUUACAUUGGUAUUAAUAAUGGGAUGUGCAGGAUAGUUGGGAGAUUAUGAGAUCGGGGCGCUAGCCCUGGUGGAGUCGUCCUUGAGAUACCAACCUUCCUCUUGUUGAUAUCUAACUUUGUGCUAUUACCUAGCAUGAGGACAGUGUAUGGUGGGUAGUUUGACUGGGGCGGUCGCCUCCUAAAGAGUAACGGAGGCGUGCAAAGGUAGGCUCAGGCUGGUUGGAAAUCAGCCGUCGAGUAUAAUAGCAUAAGCCUGCCUGACUGCAAGGCCGACAAGCCGAGCAGAGACGAAAGUCGGUUAUAGUGAUCCGGUGAUUCCGCGUGGAAGGGUCAUCGCUCAACGGAUAAAAGGUACGCCGGGGAUAACAGGGUAAUAGCGUCCAAGAGUCCAUAUCGACGACGCUGUUUGCCACCUCGAUGUCGACUCAUCACAUCCUGGGGCUGUAGAAGGUCCCAAGGGUUCGGCUGUUCGCCGAUUAAAGUGGUACGUGAGUUGGGUUUAGAACGUCGUGAGACAGUUCGGUUUCUAUCUGCCGUGGGUGUUGGAAAUUUGAGAGGAGCUAACUCUAGUACGAGAGGACCGAGUUGGACAUACCAAUUGUGUACCAGUUGUCCCGCCAGGGGCACCGCUGGGUAGCUACGUAUGGAAGGAAUAACUGCUGAAAGCAUCUAAGCGGGAAGUCCACCUCAAAACUAAAUUUCCCUAUUAGGGCCGUGGGAGACCACCACGUUGAUAGGCUGGGUGUGUAAGCGCGGUGACGCGUUGAGCUUACCAGUACUAAUAGCCUGAUUGAUUUAUAGUG